GAUUGCGAUCAUACCAGCACUAAUGCACCGGAUCCCAUCAGGACUCCGCAGUUAAGCGUGCUUGGGCGAGAGUAGUACUAGGAUGGGUGACCCCCCUGGGAAGUCCUCGUGUUGCAACCCC
This 121-nucleotide ribosomal RNA is filed under the name Helianthus annuus (common sunflower). The record is from RNAcentral. Lineage: Eukaryota; Viridiplantae; Streptophyta; Magnoliopsida; Asterales; Asteraceae.